CCCUUAGAUGAUCUGGGCUGCACGCGCGCUACACUGACCCUAACAAUGAGCAACUGUCUGGCCUGAGAUGGCUGGGUAGCCUUUUCAACCCAUGUCAUGAUUGGGCUAGAUUUUUGUAAGUCUUGAUCUCUAACGAGGAAUCCCUAGUAUGCGUGAAUCAUCAAUCCAUGCAGAUUAUGUCCCUGCCCUUUGUACACACCGCCCGUCGCUCCUACUGAUUGGGUGAUCCGGUGAGCUGUUCGGCCAUAGCAAUGUUUCUUGAGCAGGGCAAUGAAUGUUUCGCAAACCUUGCCACUUAGAGGAAGGAGAAGUCGUAACA
Molecule: ribosomal RNA, 319 nt
Filed under: uncultured eukaryote
Lineage: Eukaryota
Description: partial 18S ribosomal RNA
Rfam family: Eukaryotic small subunit ribosomal RNA
Source: RNAcentral